Molecule: ribosomal RNA, 517 nt
Filed under: uncultured bacterium
Lineage: Bacteria
Description: partial 16S ribosomal RNA
Rfam family: Bacterial small subunit ribosomal RNA
Source: RNAcentral
AACGAACGCUGGCGGCGUGCCUAACACAUGCAAGUCGAACGGAAGUAAGGGGCUUGCUCCUUACUUUAGUGGCGCACGGGUGAGUAACGCGUAGAUAAUCUGCCUGAUGAUUCGGGAUAACACUUCGAAAGGGGUGCUAAUACCGGAUAAGCCCACGGGGUCUUUGGACUCUGCGGGAAAAGGGGGGACCUUCGGGCCUUCUGUCAUCAGAUGAGUCUGCGUACCAUUAGCUAGUUGGUUGGGUAAAGGGCUACCAAGGCGACGAUGGUUAGCUGGUCUGAGAGGAUGAUCAGCCACGCCGGAACUGAGAGACGGUCCAGACGCCUACGGGAGGCAGCAGUGGGGAAUUUUGCGCAAUGGGCGAAAGCCUGACGCAGCAACGCCGCGUGAGUGAUGAAGGCUCUUGGGUCGUAAAGCUCUGACAGAGGGAAAGAAGUGUGCGGAUGCUAAUAUCAUCUGUACUUGACGGUACCCUCAAAGGAAGCACCGGCUAACUCCGUGCCAGCCGCCGCCGUAA